GAUGAAGAACGUAGUGAAAUGCGAUAAGUAAUGUGAAUUGCAGAAUUCAGUGAAUCAUCGAAUCUUUGAACGCACCUUGCGCUGCUUGGUAGUCCAAGGAGCAUGCCUGUUUGAGUAUCAUUAAAUUAUCAACUGUGCCAAUUUGGUUACAGAUUGGAUGUGGGAGAUUCUUUUUGCAGGCCUUUGACUUCUCUUUGAGAAAAAAAUAAAAGGUCGGCUCUCCUGAAAUGUAUUAGCAGUGCCUUUGUUGGUUCAUUAGGUGUGAUAAAUUGUCUACAUCUUCACAUGAUACCUUCAUUUGUAAAGGUUAUAUUGCUGCUAAAUUGUCUUUGAUUGGACGCAAAACAUAUAUAAUGUUUGACAAACUUGAUCUCAAAUCAGGCAGGACUACCCGCUGAACUUAAGCAUAUCAAAAGCGGAGGA
RNAcentral lists this unclassified non-coding RNA (423 nucleotides) under soil metagenome. RNAcentral's name for it is "partial contains 5.8S ribosomal RNA, internal transcribed spacer 2, and large subunit ribosomal RNA". The stretch from base 1 to 120 matches the Rfam family "5.8S ribosomal RNA", at positions 35 to 154 of the family's 154-position model. The record is from RNAcentral.